UCAGAUAUGCUUAUGGUUAAUCAUUGCUGAUUGCCAUGGAUAAUUGUACUCUGUACAUAUUGCAUGUAUAAGUCAGGUAUGAAAGGCUGAUAACCUUCAUUACCAGUUGGUCCAGAUAUAUUUGUUCAUGUUCAAUACUUGUUCAGUCAAAAAUUUGUUCGUGCUAGUUCUUAAUUAUAUUGAUGAAUUAUAGCCAGCUUAUUAUUCA
Molecule: long non-coding RNA, 208 nt
Filed under: Panax ginseng (ginseng)
Lineage: Eukaryota; Viridiplantae; Streptophyta; Magnoliopsida; Apiales; Araliaceae
Description: long non-coding RNA (PGIN_LNC008665)
Source: RNAcentral